CCGCCAGAAAACUACGAGCAAUAGCUUAAAAUUCAAAGGACUUGGCGGUGCCCCAAACCCACCCAGAGGAGCCUGUUCUUUAAUCGAUAAUCCACGCUUUACCUCACCAUCUCUAGCCACUUCAGCCUAUAUACCACCGUCACCAGCUAACCUUGUGAAAGAACAAAAAUUAGCAAAAUGAAUUCUAACUCAAUACGUCAGGUCAAGGUGUAGCACACGAGAUGGGAAGAAAUGGGCUACAUUUUCCUAUUAAGAACUUACGAAUUCAUGUAAUGAAAACAACAUAUGAAGCAGGAUUUGGCAGUAAAAAGAAACUAUAAAAUUCUUUUUAAAAAGGCCAUGGGGCGCGC
This 350-nucleotide ribosomal RNA is filed under the name Crotaphatrema lamottei. Its description in RNAcentral is "partial 12S ribosomal RNA". It matches the Rfam family "Bacterial small subunit ribosomal RNA", at positions 869 to 1384 of the family's 1533-position model. Lineage: Eukaryota; Metazoa; Chordata; Amphibia; Gymnophiona; Scolecomorphidae. The record is from RNAcentral.